GAGUUUGAUCAUGGCUCAGGAUGAACGCCGGCGGUGUGCCUAAUACAUGCAAGUCGUACGCACUGGCCCAACUGAUUGAUGGUGCUUGCACCUGAUUGACGAUGGAUCACCAGUGAGUGGCGGACGGGUGAGUAACACGUAGGUAACCUGCCCCGGAGCGGGGGAUAACAUUUGGAAACAGAUGCUAAUACCGCAUAACAACAAAGGCCACAUGGCUUUUGUUUGAAAGAUGGCUUUGGCCAUCACUCUGGGAUGGACCUGCGGUGCAUUAGCUAGUUGGUAAGGUAACGGCUUACCAAGGCGAUGAUGCAUAGCCGAGUUGAGAGACUGAUCGGCCACAAUGGAACUGAGACACGGUCCAUACUCCUACGGGAGGCAGCAGUAGGGAAUCUUCCACAAUGGGCGCAAGCCUGAUGGAGCAACACCCGCGUGAGUGAAGAAGGGUUUCGGCUCGUAAAGCUCUGUUGUUGGAGAAGAACGUGCGUGAGAGU
Molecule: ribosomal RNA, 491 nt
Filed under: uncultured microorganism
Description: bacterial SSU rRNA
Rfam family: Bacterial small subunit ribosomal RNA
Source: RNAcentral